CUAGGUUUACAUAAGGGACUGCAGCUGUAUUUAAGUACACAACAGUCCCUUGUAGCCUCCAUGGUAAUGUAAAUAGAGUAGGGGGAUGGACUCUUAGACUAAAGAAGGGACAGCAGAGCAAUUAAGCCCAUAAAAAGUCCCAACUACCUUCUGCAGUCACGCAAGGGGAGUUAGGUGGGAAUGGGAUCCUAGGUGAAAAAAAAAA
Vicugna pacos (alpaca) is the source of this 205-nucleotide non-coding RNA. Lineage: Eukaryota; Metazoa; Chordata; Mammalia; Artiodactyla; Camelidae. The record is from RefSeq and is a predicted model, not a curated record.